This is a long non-coding RNA of Cryptomeria japonica (Japanese cedar), 267 nucleotides long. RefSeq lists it as uncharacterized. The record is from RefSeq and is a predicted model, not a curated record. The transcript is spliced from 2 exons. NCBI's taxonomy places the organism in Eukaryota, Viridiplantae, Streptophyta, Pinopsida, Cupressales, Cupressaceae.
CAAACCCUAAUACAUCCACCGCUAUGAGUUUCACUCUAGCAGUUACAGGGCAAAAUAUUGUCAGAUUUUGGUUAUGGGUUUUUGGUAUGACAAUCCGCAAGGUUAAACGAGUCGAAUGGUGGUCUUAGUUGCUGAUUUCAAUGGGAUUUUGUGCAGAUAUUUAGGAUUUCAUUCUCCGGUACAUCUCUUCAAAAGAACAGAUCCUUCAUGCAAUCGUUUGACAAGGUUUAGCAGCAGAAAAUAAAUGGAGAACAAAGAAGGACCAAG